RNAcentral lists this ribosomal RNA (464 nucleotides) under Vreelandella stevensii. RNAcentral describes it as "partial 16S ribosomal RNA". It matches the Rfam family "Bacterial small subunit ribosomal RNA", at positions 338 to 795 of the family's 1533-position model. Lineage: Bacteria; Pseudomonadati; Pseudomonadota; Gammaproteobacteria; Oceanospirillales; Halomonadaceae. The record is from RNAcentral.
CCUACGUGUGGCAGCAGUGGGGAAUAUUGGACAAUGGGCGAAAGCCUGAUCCAGCCAUGCCGCGUGUGUGAAGAAGGCCUUCGGGUUGUAAAGCACUUUCAGUGGGGAAGAAAGCCUUGGGGCUAAUACCCUCGAGGAAGGACAUCACCCACAGAAGAAGCACCGGCUAACUCCGUGCCAGCAGCCGCGGUAAUACGGAGGGUGCGAGCGUUAAUCGGAAUUACUGGGCGUAAAGCGCGCGUAGGCGGUCUGAUAAGCCGGUUGUGAAAGCCCCGGGCUCAACCUGGGAACGGCAUCCGGAACUGUCAGGCUAGAGUGCAGGAGAGGAAGGUAGAAUUCCCGGUGUAGCGGUGAAAUGCGUAGAGAUCGGGAGGAAUACCAGUGGCGAAGGCGGCCUUCUGGACUGACACUGACGCUGAGGUGCGAAAGCGUGGGUAGCAAACAGGAUUAGAUACCCUGUAGUC